This 714-nucleotide ribosomal RNA is filed under the name Flavobacterium sp. A23MTG1. RNAcentral describes it as "bacterial SSU rRNA". It matches the Rfam family "Bacterial small subunit ribosomal RNA", at positions 112 to 826 of the family's 1533-position model. Lineage: Bacteria; Pseudomonadati; Bacteroidota; Flavobacteriia; Flavobacteriales; Flavobacteriaceae. The record is from RNAcentral.
AACGCGUAUGCAAUCUACCUUUUACAGAGGGAUAGCCCAGAGAAAUUUGGAUUAAUACCUCAUAGCAUUGCAGGAUGGCAUCAUCCAGCAAUUAAAGUCACAACGGUAAAAGAUGAGCAUGCGUCCCAUUAGCUAGUUGGUAAGGUAACGGCUUACCAAGGCUACGAUGGGUAGGGGUCCUGAGAGGGAGAUCCCCCACACUGGUACUGAGACACGGACCAGACUCCUACGGGAGGCAGCAGUGAGGAAUAUUGGACAAUGGGCGCAAGCCUGAUCCAGCCAUGCCGCGUGCAGGAUGACGGUCCUAUGGAUUGUAAACUGUUUUAUCGAGAAGAAACACUACUUCGUGAAGUAGCUUGACGGUAUCGUAAGAAUAAGGAUCGGCUAACUCCGUGCCAGCAGCCGCGGUAAUACGGAGGAUCCAAGCGUUAUCCGGAAUCAUUGGGUUUAAAGGGUCCGUAGGCGGUUUAAUAAGUCAGUGGUGAAAGCCCAUCGCUCAACGGUGGAACGGCCAUUGAUACUGUUAAACUUGAAUUAUUAGGAAGUAACUAGAAUAUGUAGUGUAGCGGUGAAAUGCUUAGAGAUUACAUGGAAUACCAAUUGCGAAGGCAGGUUACUACUAAUGGAUUGACGCUGAUGGACGAAAGCGUGGGUAGCGAACAGGAUUAGAUACCCUGGUAGUCCACGCCGUAAACGAUGGAUACUAGCUGUUGG